This 433-nucleotide ribosomal RNA is filed under the name uncultured bacterium. Its description in RNAcentral is "partial 16S ribosomal RNA". It matches the Rfam family "Bacterial small subunit ribosomal RNA", at positions 29 to 507 of the family's 1533-position model. The record is from RNAcentral.
AACGAACGCUGGCGGCAUGCCUAACACAUGCAAGUCGAACGAGACCUCCGGGCCUAGUGGCGCACGGGUGCGUAACGCGUGGGAACCUGCCCUUAGGUCCGGAAUAACUCCCCGAAAGGGGUGCUAACCCCGGAUAAUCUCUUCGCACCAAAGAUUUAUCGCCUUUGGAUGGGCCCGCGUUCGAUUAGCUAGUUGGUAGGGUAAAAGCCUACCAAGGCGACGAUCCAUAGCUGGUCUGAGAGGAUGAUCAGCCACACUGGGACUGAGACACGGCCCAGACUCCUACGGGAAGCAGCAGUGGGGAAUAUUGGACAAUGGGCGAAAGCCUGAUCCAGCAAUGCCGCGUGAGUGAUGAAGGCCUUAGGGUUGUAAAGCUCUUUUACCCGGGAUGAUAAUGACAGUACCGGGAGAAUAAGCUCCGGCUAACUCCGUG